RNAcentral lists this ribosomal RNA (468 nucleotides) under uncultured bacterium. Its description in RNAcentral is "partial 16S ribosomal RNA". It matches the Rfam family "Bacterial small subunit ribosomal RNA", at positions 28 to 507 of the family's 1533-position model. The record is from RNAcentral.
GACGAACGCUGGCGGCGUGCUUAACACAUGCAAGUCGAACGGAAAGGCCCUGCUUUUGUGGGGUGCUCGAGUGGCGAACGUUUGAGUAACACGUUAGUAACCUGCCCUUGACUUUGGGAUAACUUCAGGAAACUGUGGCUAAUACCGGCUAGGAGCUCCUGCUGCAUGGUGGGGGUUGGAAAGUUUCGGCGGUUGGGGAUGGACUCGCGGCUUAUCAGCUUGUUGGUGGGGUAGUGGCUUACCAAGGCUUUGACGGGUAGCCGGCCUGAGAGGGUGACCGGCCACAUUGGGACUGAGAUACGGCCCAGACUCCUACGGGAGGAAGCAGUGGGGAAUAUUGCACAAUGGGCGGAAGCCUGAUGCAGCAACGCAGCGUGCGGGAUGACGGCCUUCGGGUUGUAAACCGCUUUCGCCUGUGACGAAGCGUGAGUGACGGUAAUGGGUAAAGAAGCACCGGCUAACUACGUG